Molecule: ribosomal RNA, 244 nt
Filed under: Cardinium endosymbiont of Sibinia pellucens
Lineage: Bacteria; Pseudomonadati; Bacteroidota; Cytophagia; Cytophagales; Amoebophilaceae
Description: partial 16S ribosomal RNA
Rfam family: Bacterial small subunit ribosomal RNA
Source: RNAcentral
GAGGGUGCGAGCGUUCAUCGGAAUUACUGGGCGUAAAGCGUACGCAGGCGGUCUGUUAAGUCAGAUGUGAAAUCCCCGGGCUCAACCUGGGAACUGCAUUUGAAACUGGCAGGCUAGAGUCUCGUAGAGGGGGGUAGAAUUCCAGGUGUAGCGGUGAAAUGCGUAGAGAUCUGGAGGAAUACCGGUGGCGAAGGCGGCCCCCUGGACGAAACUGACGCUCAGGUACGAAAGCGUUAAGUGAUCC